GCGGAGGAAAGGAAACCAACAGGGAUUGCCUUAGUAGCGGCGAGUGAAGCGGCAAAAGCUCAAAUUUGAAAUCUGGCGCCUUCGGUGUCCGAGUUGUAAUUUGAAGAUUGUAACCUUGGGGUUGGCUCUUGUCUAUGUUUCUUGGAACAGGACGUCACAGAGGGUGAGAAUCCCGUGCGAUGAGAUGCCCAAUUCUAUGUAAGGUGCUUUCGAAGAGUCGAGUUGUUUGGGAAUGCAGCUCUAAGUGGGUGGUAAAUUCCAUCUAAAGCUAAAUAUUGGCGAGAGACCGAUAGCGAACAAGUACAGUGAUGGAAAGAUGAAAAGAACUUUGAAAAGAGAGUGAAAAAGUACGUGAAAUUGUUGAAAGGGAAGGGUUUGAGAUCAGACUCGAUAUUUUGUGAGCCUUGCCUUCGUGGCGGGGUGACCCGCAGCUUAUCGGGCCAGCAUCGGUUUGGGCGGUAGGAUAAUGGCGUAGGAAUGUGACUUUACUUCGGUGAAGUGUUAUAGCCUGCGUUGAUGCUGCCUGCCUAGACCGAGGACUGCGAUUUUAUCAAGGAUGCUGGCAUAAUGAUCCCAAACCGCCCGUCUUGA
This 591-nucleotide ribosomal RNA is filed under the name fungal sp. Its description in RNAcentral is "eukaryotic LSU rRNA". It matches the Rfam family "Eukaryotic large subunit ribosomal RNA", at positions 50 to 657 of the family's 3401-position model. The record is from RNAcentral. Lineage: Eukaryota; Fungi.